AUUGAACGCUGGCGGCAGGCCUAACACAUGCAAGUCGAGCGGAGCGGCGGACGGGUGAGUAAUGCCUAGGAAUCUGCCUGGUAGUGGGGGAUAACGUCCGGAAACGGGCGCUAAUACCGCAUACUAUCAGAUGAGCCUAGGUCGGAUUAGCUAGUUGGUGGGGUAAAGGCCUACCUAGGCGACGAUCCCUAGCUGGUCUGAGAGGAUGACCAGCCACACUGGAACUGAGAUACGGCCCAGACUCCUACGGGAGGCAGCAGUGGGGGAUAUUGCACAAUGGGCGAAAGCCUGAUGCAGCGACGCCGCGUGGGGGAUGAAGGCUUUCGGGUUGUAAACCUCUUUCGCUAUCGAACGGGUAGGUGGAGAAGAAGCGCCGGCUAACUACGUGCCAGCAGCCGCGGUAAUAC
This 407-nucleotide ribosomal RNA is filed under the name uncultured bacterium. RNAcentral describes it as "partial 16S ribosomal RNA". It matches the Rfam family "Bacterial small subunit ribosomal RNA", at positions 30 to 526 of the family's 1533-position model. The record is from RNAcentral.